UAAGGAAUAUUGGUCAAUGGGGGCAACCCUGAACCAGCCAUGCCGCGUGCAGGAAGACGGCCCUACGGGUUGUAAACUGCUUUUAUACGGGAAUAAACCUCUUUACGUGUAAAGAGUUGAAUGUACUGUAAGAAUAAGGAUCGGCUAACUCCGUGCCAGCAGCCGCGGUAAUACGGAGGAUCCAAGCGUUAUCCGGAUUUAUUGGGUUUAAAGGGUGCGUAGGCGGCCUAUUAAGUCAGGGGUGAAAGACGGUGGCUCAACCAUCGCAGUGCCCUUGAUACUGAUAGGCUUGAUUACACUUGAGGUAGGCGGAAUGUGACAAGUAGCGGUGAAAUGCAUAGAUAUGUCACAGAACACCAAUUGCGAAGGCAGCUUACUAAGGUGUCAAUGACGCUGAGGCACGAAAGCGUGGGGAUCAAACA
Molecule: ribosomal RNA, 422 nt
Filed under: uncultured Pedobacter sp.
Lineage: Bacteria; Pseudomonadati; Bacteroidota; Sphingobacteriia; Sphingobacteriales; Sphingobacteriaceae
Description: bacterial SSU rRNA
Rfam family: Bacterial small subunit ribosomal RNA
Source: RNAcentral